GUGUCCUACGGGACGCAGCAGUGAGGAAUAUUGGUCAAUGGACGAAAGUCUGAACCAGCCAUGCCGCGUGCAGGAUGACGGCUCUAUGAGUUGUAAACUGCUUUUGUAUUAGGGUAAACACCCCUACGUGUAGGGGCUUGAAAGUAUAAUACGAAUAAGGAUCGGCUAACUCCGUGCCAGCAGCCGCGGGAAUACGGAGGAUCCAAGCGUUAUCCGGAUUUAUUGGGUUUAAAGGGUGCGUAGGCGGCUUGAUAAGUUAG
This 260-nucleotide ribosomal RNA is filed under the name uncultured bacterium. RNAcentral's name for it is "partial 16S ribosomal RNA". It matches the Rfam family "Bacterial small subunit ribosomal RNA", at positions 334 to 591 of the family's 1533-position model. The record is from RNAcentral.